GAUGAACGCUGACAGAAUGCUUAACACAUGCAAGUCGAUGGGGAAGUGGUGCUUGCACCAUGGUAACCAUGGCGGACGGGUGGGUAACGCGUAAGGAACUUACCUGCGGGACCGGGAUAACAGCAGGAAACUGCUGACAAGACCGGAUAAGGUCAUUAAGCUGCAUAGCUUAGUGAUGAAAGGAGACGCCUGCGGAGAGCCUUGCGUCCUAUUAGCUAGUUGGAGGGGUAACGGCCCACCAAGGCGAAGAUAGGUAGCCGGCCUGAGAGGGUGGACGGCCACAAGGGGACUGAGAUACGGCCCUUACUCCUACGGGAGGCGGCAGUGGGGAAUAUUGGACAAUGGGGGCAACCCUGAUCCAGCAAUUCUGUGUGCACGAAGACGGUUUUCGGAUUGUAAAGUGCUUUCAGCAGGGAAGAAGGAAGUGACGGUACCUGCAGAAGAAGCGACGGCUAAAUACGUG
RNAcentral lists this ribosomal RNA (463 nucleotides) under uncultured bacterium. RNAcentral's name for it is "partial 16S ribosomal RNA". It matches the Rfam family "Bacterial small subunit ribosomal RNA", at positions 28 to 507 of the family's 1533-position model. The record is from RNAcentral.